GACGAACGCUGGCGGCGUGCUUAACACAUGCAAGUCGAACGGGAAGGCCCUGCUUCUGUGGGGGGCUCGAGUGGCGAACGGGUGAGUAACACGUGAGUAACCUGCCCUUGACUUUGGGAUACCUUCAGGAAACUGGGGCUAAUGCCGGAUAGGAGCUACUGCUGCAUGGUGGGGGUUGGAAAGUGUCGGCGGUGGGGGAUGGACGCGCGGCUUAUAAGCUUGUGGGUGGGGUAGUGGCUUACCAAGUCUUUGACGGGUAGCCGGCCGGAGAGGGUGACCGGCCACAUUGGGACUGAGGUACGGCGCAGACUACUACGGGAGGCAGCAGUGGGGAAUAAUGGACAAUGAGCGGAGACAUGCUGAAGCAACGACGCGUGGGGGAUGAAGGACUUCCGGUUGUAGUCCGCUUUCGCCUGUGACGAAGAGUGAGUGACGGUAAUGGGUAAAGAAGCACCGGCUAACUACGUG
RNAcentral lists this ribosomal RNA (468 nucleotides) under uncultured bacterium. Its description in RNAcentral is "partial 16S ribosomal RNA". It matches the Rfam family "Bacterial small subunit ribosomal RNA", at positions 28 to 507 of the family's 1533-position model. The record is from RNAcentral.